ACAGGGAUUGCCCUAGUAACGGCGAGUGAAGCGGCAGCAGCUCAAAUUUGAAAUCCGGCGCCCCCGGCGCCCGAGUUGUAAUUUGUAGAGGGUGGCUCGGGCCCGUCCCCGUCCAAGUCCCCUGGAACGGGGCGUCGUGGAGGGUGAGAAUCCCGUACGCGGCGGGGCGACGUGCCCGUGUGAGCCCCCUUCGACGAGUCGAGUUGUUUGGGAAUGCAGCUCUAAAUGGGAGGUAAAUUCCUUCUAAAGCUAAAUACCGGCCAGAGACCGAUAGCGCACAAGUAGAGUGAUCGAAAGAUGAAAAGCACUUUGGAAAGAGAGUCAAAAAGCACGUGAAAUUGUUGAAAGGGAAGCGCUCACGAUCAGACUCGGGCGCGGGUGCUCAACCCAACCGGGUGCAUCGCCCGCGCCCGGGCCAGCAUCGGCUCGGGCGGCCGGAUGAAGGCCCCGGGAACGUGGCUCCUCUCGGGGAGUGUUAUAGCCCGGGGCGCAACGCGGCCCGCCCGGACCGAGGACCGCGUUCGCUAGGAUGCUGGCGUAAUGGUCGUUAGCGGCCCGUCUUGAAACACGGACCAAGGAGUCUACCAUCUGUGCGAGUCCUAGGGUGCGAAACCCUCGGGGCGCAAUGAGAGUGAACGGAGGUGGGAACGUUUUCGCGCACCAUCGACCGAUCCAGAAGUCCUCGGACGGAUUUGAGUAAGAGCACCGCUGGUGGGACCCGAAAGAUGGUGAACUAUGCGCGGAUAGGGUGAAGCCAGAGGAAACUCUGGUGGAGGCUCGCAGCGGUUCUGACGUGCAAAUCGAUCGUCAAAUCUACGCAUA
RNAcentral lists this ribosomal RNA (822 nucleotides) under Asterina melastomatis. RNAcentral's name for it is "eukaryotic LSU rRNA". It matches the Rfam family "Eukaryotic large subunit ribosomal RNA", at positions 68 to 919 of the family's 3401-position model. Lineage: Eukaryota; Fungi; Ascomycota; Dothideomycetes; Asterinales; Asterinaceae. The record is from RNAcentral.